Molecule: long non-coding RNA, 289 nt
Organism: Cygnus olor (mute swan)
Lineage: Eukaryota; Metazoa; Chordata; Aves; Anseriformes; Anatidae
Exons: 3
Source: RefSeq, a predicted model, not a curated record
GUGUGGGAGGAUAUGGGCAGGCAUCUAGAGCAGUGGGCACUUCCGGUGCUUUGGAAAUUCACCCCUGAACAACUGCAAAAUCCUAAAAAACUGGCAGAAUGCUUGAAAAAAAGGUGUCAUGACUCUGGCAGUUCCAAAGUGACACAAAUCACUGUGGCGUGCUGGGGUCUGGCUUGUGCCUAUCGAGCUGCAAUUGAUGCUACUAUCAACCUAGUGACAGCUUCUGCAGCCGCUCCAGUCCCGGCUCCCGCAGCCGUUCCGGCUCCAGCUCCCGCAGCCGCUCCAGCUC